ACACAUGCAAGUCGAACGGAGCUGAGAGGAGCUUGCUUUUCUUAGCUUAGUGGCGAACGGGUGAGUAACGCGUGAGUAACCUGCCCUGGAGUGGGGGACAACAGUUGGAAACGACUGCUAAUACCGCAUAAGCCCACGGCCCGGCAUCGGGCUGAGGGAAAAGGAUUUAUUCGCUUCAGGAUGGACUCGCGUCCAAUUAGCUAGUUGGUGAGGUAACGGCCCACCAAGGCGACGAUUGGUAGCCGGACUGAGAGGUUGAACGGCCACAUUGGGACUGAGACACGGCCCAGACUCCUACGGGAGGCAGCAGUGGGGGAUAUUGCACAAUGGGGGAAACCCUGAUGCAGCGACGCCGCGUGGAGGAAGAAGGUUUUCGGAUUGUAAACUCCUGUCGUUAGGGACGAUAAUGACGGUACCUAACAAGAAAGCACCGGCUAACUACGUGCCAGCAGCCGCGGUAAAACGUAGGGUGCAAGCGUUGUCCGGAAUUACUGGGUGUAAAGGGAGCGCAGGCGGACCGGCAAGUUGGAAGUGAAAACUAUGGGCUCAACCCAUAAAUUGCUUUCAAAACUGCUGGCCUUGAGUAGUGCAGAGGUAGGUGGAAUUCCCGGUGUAGCGGUGGAAUGCGUAGAUAUCGGGAGGAACACCAGUGGCGAAGGCGACCUACUGGGCACCAACUGACGCUGAGGCUCGAAAGCAUGGGUAGCAAACAGGAUUAGAUACCCUGGUAGUCCAUGCCGUAAACGAUGAUUACUAGGUGUUGGAGGAUUGACCCCUUCAGUGCCGCAGUUAACACAA
Molecule: ribosomal RNA, 798 nt
Filed under: uncultured bacterium
Lineage: Bacteria
Description: bacterial SSU rRNA
Rfam family: Bacterial small subunit ribosomal RNA
Source: RNAcentral